CCAAUAGCGUAUAUUAAAGUUGCUGCAGUUAAAAAGCUCGUAGUUGAAUUUCGGGAUCAAUAUGUUGGUCGUGCCUUGGUACGUACUAGCUUAUUGAUUUCUCCUUUCUGACGAACCAUGAUGUCAUUAAUUUGGUGUCAUGGGGAAUCAGGACUGUUACUUUGAAAAAAUUAGAGUGUUUAAAGCAGGCUCGCGCUUGAAUACAUUAGCAUGGAAUAAUGAAAUAGGACAUUUGAUUCUAUUUUGUUGGUUUCUAGGAUCGAUGUAAUGAUUAAUAGGGGUAGUUGGGGGCAUUAGUAUUCAAUUGUCAGAGGUGAAAUUCUUGGAUUUAUUGAAGACUAACUACUGCGAAAGCAUUUGCCAAGGAUGUUUUCAUUAAUCAAGAACGAAAGUUAGGGGAUCGAAGAUGAUCAGAUACCGUCGUAGUCUUAACCAUAAACUAUGCCGACUAGGGAUCGGAUGAUGUUAAUUUUUUAAUGACUCAUUCGGCGCCUUACG
Molecule: ribosomal RNA, 498 nt
Filed under: uncultured Glomeromycotina
Lineage: Eukaryota; Fungi; Glomeromycota
Description: partial small subunit ribosomal RNA
Rfam family: Eukaryotic small subunit ribosomal RNA
Source: RNAcentral